GAGGGAAAGGUGAAAAGAACCCUGAAUAAGGGAGUGAAAUAGAACCUGAAACCAUACGCUUACAAGCGGUCGGAGCAGACUUGAUCUGUGACGGCGUGCCUUUUGCAUAAUGAGCCUACGAGUUACCGUUGCUAGCAAGGUUAAGGACUUCAGGUCCGGAUCCGUAGCGAAAGCGAGUCUGAAUAGGGCGUUUUAGUUAGUAGUGGUAGACGCGAAACCGUGUGAUCUACCCAUGGGCAGGGUGAAGCUGUAGUAACAUACAGUGGAGGCCCGAACCGAUAUACGUUGAAAAGUGUUCGGAUGACCUGUGGGUAGGGGUGAAAGGCCAAUCAAACUCGGAAAUAGCUCGUACUCCCCGAAAUGCAUUUAGGUGCAGCGUUGAUUUAUAGUUUUAUAGAGGUAGAGCUACUGAUUGGAUGCGGGGGCUUCACCGCCUACCAAUUCCUGACAAACUCCGAAUGCUAUAAAAUGUUAAUCAGCAGUGAGGGCAUGGGUGCUAAGGUCCAUGUCCGAGAGGGAAAGAACCCAGACCAUCAGCUAAGGUCCCAAAAUAUAUGUUAAGUUGAAUAAACGAGGUUGAACUGCUUAGACAGCUAGGAUGUUGGCUUGGAAGCAGCCAUUCAUUUAAAGAGUGCGUAACAGCUCACUAGUCGAGCGGUUCGGCAUGGAUAAUAAUCGGGCAUAAACAUAUUACCGAAGCUAUGGACUUGAAAAAGUGGUAGGGGAGCAUUGUAGUGUCGUCGAAGGUGUACUGCGAGGUAUGCUGGAGAAGCUACAAAAGAAAAUGUAGGCAUAAGUAACGAUAAUGCGGGCGAGAAACCCGCACACCGAAAGACUAAGGUUUCCUCAGCUAUGCUAAUCAGCUGAGGGUUAGUCGGGACCUAACGCGAACCCGAAAGGGGUAGUGGAUGGACAACAGAUUAAUAUUUCUGUACCUGCUCACACUAAAAGUGACGGAGGCGAAAAGUUAGUGCGUACUGACGGAAUAGUACGUUGAAGCGAGUGGUAACACCGCGAUAGUACACUGAGACUACGGUCAAGGUGAUAAUCUAGCAAAUCGACUUCCAAGAAAAGCGAGUGAAGCAGCCCGUACCCUAAACCGACACAGGUAGUUGGGAUGAGAAUUCUAAGGUGCUCGAGAGAUUCAUGGCUAAGGAACUAGGCAAAAUAGACCCGUAACUUCGGGAGAAGGGUCGCCUCCAAGCAAUUGGAGGCCGCAGUGAAAAGGUCCAGGCGACUGUUUAUCAAAAACACAGGGCUCUGCUAAAUCGAAAGAUGAUGUAUAGGGCCUGACACCUGCCCGGUGCUGGAAGGUUAAGUGGAGGGUUUAGAAGUUUACUUCGAAGAUCUCAAAUGAAGCCCCAGUAAACGGCGGCCGUAACAAUAACGGUCCUAAGGUAGCGAAAUUCCUUGUCGGGUAAGUUCCGACCUGCACGAAUGGCGUAAUGAUGGCCACGCUGUCUCCACCCGAGACUCAGUGAAAUUGAAAUCGCAGUGAAGAUGCUGUGUACCCGCGGCUAGACGGAAAGACCCCGUGAACCUUUACUACAGCUUCACACUGGACGCUGAUGUUGCUUGUGUAGGAUAGCUGGGAGGCUUUGAAACCCUGUCGCCAGAUGGGGUGGAGCCAACCUUGAAAUACCAGCCUGGCAUCAUUGGCGUUCUAACUCAGGACCGUAAUCCGGUUCGAGGACCGUGUGUGGUGGGUAGUUUGACUGGGGCG
This 1723-nucleotide ribosomal RNA is filed under the name Emiliania huxleyi. RNAcentral describes it as "partial Bacterial large subunit ribosomal RNA". It matches the Rfam family "Bacterial large subunit ribosomal RNA", at positions 505 to 2281 of the family's 2925-position model. Lineage: Eukaryota; Haptophyta; Isochrysidales; Noelaerhabdaceae. The record is from RNAcentral.